This 56-nucleotide small nuclear RNA is filed under the name Cavia aperea (Brazilian guinea pig). Lineage: Eukaryota; Metazoa; Chordata; Mammalia; Rodentia; Caviidae. The record is from RNAcentral.
GUGCUCACUUUGGCAGCACUCAUACUAAAAUUGAAACAAUACCAGAGAAGAUUAGC